GAGUUUGAUCCUGGCUCAGAACGAACGCUGGCGGCAGGCCUAACACAUGCAAGUCGAACGGUUCCUUCGGGGACAGUGGCGGACGGGUGAGUAACGCGUGGGAACGUGCCUUCCAGUUCGGAAUAACCCAGGGAAACUUGGGCUAAUACCGGAUACGUCCUUUGGGAGAAAGAGUUUUAUCGCUGGAAGAUCGGCCCGCGUCUGAUUAGCUGGUUGGUGGGGUAACGGCCUACCAAGGCGACGAUCGGUAGCUGGUCUGAGAGGAUGAUCAGCCACACUGGGACUGAGACACGGCCCAGACUCCUACGGGAGGCAGCAGUGGGGAAUAUUGGACAAUGGGCGCAAGCCUGAUCCAGCCAUGCCGCGUGAGUGAUGACGGCCUUAGGGUUGUAAAGCUCUUUCGGCGGGGACGAUAGUGACGGUACCCGCAGAAGAAGCCCCGGCUAACUUCGUG
Molecule: ribosomal RNA, 454 nt
Filed under: uncultured Hyphomicrobiales bacterium
Lineage: Bacteria; Pseudomonadati; Pseudomonadota; Alphaproteobacteria; Hyphomicrobiales
Description: bacterial SSU rRNA
Rfam family: Bacterial small subunit ribosomal RNA
Source: RNAcentral